CGCCCAUAGCUCAGCUGGUUAGAGCAGUCGACUCAUAAUCGAUUAGUCGUAGGUUCAAGUCCUACUGGGCCCACCA
Molecule: transfer RNA, 76 nt
Filed under: Porticoccaceae bacterium
Lineage: Bacteria; Pseudomonadati; Pseudomonadota; Gammaproteobacteria; Cellvibrionales; Porticoccaceae
Description: tRNA-Ile
Rfam family: tRNA
About the family: Transfer RNA (tRNA) molecules are approximately 80 nucleotides in length. Their secondary structure includes four short double-helical elements and three loops (D, anti-codon, and T loops).
Source: RNAcentral